Molecule: ribosomal RNA, 972 nt
Filed under: human gut metagenome
Description: bacterial LSU rRNA
Rfam family: Bacterial large subunit ribosomal RNA
Source: RNAcentral
CCUAAGGUAGCGAAAUUCCUUGUCAGGUAAGUUCUGACCCGCACGAAAGGUGUAAUGUCUUUGGGCACUGUCUCAACAGGGGACUCGGUGAAAUCAAACUGCCGGUGAAAAUGCCGGCUACCCGCGAUUAGACGGAAAGACCCCAUGGAGCUUUACUGUAGGUUGAUAUUGAUAUUUGGUAUGUAAUGUACAGGAUAGGUGGGAGACUAUGAAGCUAGGACGUUAGUCUUGGUGGAGUCGACGUUGGGAUACCACCCUUUGCCUAUCGAGUAUCUAACUAGUGUAAGUGGAUUACAAAGGACAGUGUCAGUUGGGCAGUUUGACUGGGGCGGUCGCCUCCUAAAGAGUAACGGAGGCGCUCGAAGGUUCCCUCAGAAUGGUUGGAAAUCAUUCGCAGAGUGUAAACGCAGAAGGGAGCUUGACUGCAAGACAAACAAGUCGAGCAGGGACGAAAGUCGGAGUUAGUGAUCUUACGGUACCGCGUGGAAGGGCCGUGACUCAACGGAUAAAAGCUACCCUGGGGAUAACAGGCUGAUCACGCCCAAGCGUUCACAGCGACGGCGUGGUUUGGCACCUCGAUGUCGGCUCGUCGCAUCCUGGAGGUGGAUAAGCUUCCAAGGGUUGGGCUGUUCGCCCAUUAAAGCGGCACGCGAGCUGGGUUCAAAACGUCGUGAGACAGUUUGGUCCCUAUCUGUCGUGGGCGUUGGAAAUUUGAAGAGAGCUGUCCUUAGUACGAGAGGACCGGGAUGGACAUACCACUGGUGUACCAGUUAGCCUGCCAGGGCUAUAAGCUGGGUAGCUACGUAUGGAACGGAUAAACGCUGAAAGCAUCUAAGCGUGAAGCCUCCUCUAAGAUUAGAUUUCCCACAGAAAUGGUAAGACCCCUUAUAGACUAUAAGGUUGAUAGGCUAGGUGUGGAAGCGCAGUGAUGCGUGGAGCUGACUAGUACUAAUAGGUCGAGGACUUAACCUA